UACGGGGGGGAUAAGCGUUGUUCGGAAUUACUGGGCGUAAAGGGCUCGUAGGCGGCCAACUAAGUCAUACGUGAAAUCCCUCAGCUUAACUGGGGAACUGCGUGUGAUACUGGAUGGCUUGGAUUUGGGAGAGGGAUGCGGAAUUCCAGGUGUAGCGGUGAAAUGCGUAGAUAUCUGGAGGAACACCGGUGGCGAAGGCGGCAUCCUGGACCAAUAUUGACGCUGAGGAGCGAAAGCCAGGGGAGCAAACGGG
This 253-nucleotide ribosomal RNA is filed under the name uncultured bacterium. RNAcentral's name for it is "partial 16S ribosomal RNA". It matches the Rfam family "Bacterial small subunit ribosomal RNA", at positions 524 to 776 of the family's 1533-position model. The record is from RNAcentral.